UAGGGAAUCUUCCGCAAUGGACGAAAGUCUGACGGAGCAACGCCGCGUGAGUGAAGAAGGAUUUCGGUUCGUAACACUCUGUUGUUAGGGAAGAAAAAAUGUAUAGUAACUAUAUACAAAAGAGAAGGUACCUAACCAGAAUGCAACGGCUAACUACGAGCCAGCAGCCGCGGUAAUACGCAGGGGGCAAGCGUUGUCCGGAAUUAUUGGGCGUAAAGCGCGCGCAGGUGGUUUCGUAAGUCUGAUGUGAAAGCCCACGGCUCAACCGUGGAGGGUCAUUGGAGACUAAUAAACUUGAGUGCAGGAGAGAAAAGUGGAAUUCCUAGUGUAGCGGUGAAAUGCGUAGAGAUUAGGAGGAACACCGGUGGCGAAAGCGGCUUUUUGGCCUGCAACUGACACUGAGGCGCGAAAGCGUGGGGAGCAAACAGG
Molecule: ribosomal RNA, 429 nt
Filed under: Verrucomicrobiota bacterium
Lineage: Bacteria; Pseudomonadati; Verrucomicrobiota
Description: Verrucomicrobia bacterium partial 16S ribosomal RNA
Rfam family: Bacterial small subunit ribosomal RNA
Source: RNAcentral